GACGGUAGAGCUCAGUGGCAGAGCACGUGUUUAGUGUGCGUGAAGUCCUAGGUUCAAUCCCCAGUACCUCUA
RNAcentral lists this transfer RNA (72 nucleotides) under Camelus bactrianus (Bactrian camel). It matches the Rfam family "tRNA". From Rfam's summary of the family: Transfer RNA (tRNA) molecules are approximately 80 nucleotides in length. RNAcentral also lists the same sequence under 1 other name. The record is from Rfam by way of RNAcentral. Lineage: Eukaryota; Metazoa; Chordata; Mammalia; Artiodactyla; Camelidae.